Non-coding RNA from Planktothrix serta PCC 8927, 37 nucleotides. NCBI's taxonomy places the organism in Bacteria, Bacillati, Cyanobacteriota, Cyanophyceae, Oscillatoriales, Microcoleaceae. The record is from Rfam.
GUUGCAAUAACCAAUAAUCCCUAUCAGGGAUUGAAAC